CGAGACCGGCAAAUCGCUCACUGCAUCCUGACUCCUCCCUCCACCAACGCAGGGGAGUACAUUUAUGCCCUCAAAGACCUCACCUACGCCACGUUCUGCGGGGCCAUAUCCGAAAAGUUCUGCGACCUCUACUGGGGCGAGAAGCUGCUGCAGAGCCUCUUCAACGUGGUGAACGGACGGACGCCGCCCUCGGGGAAUGCUUCCGAAGACACUGGGUCGCAGCCCGAGGGCAGCAGGACCCGCGCUCCGAGCAGCUGCUCACCAUCCAGCAGGAGGGCCUCACGUCUUGGGCUGGGGAAGGAGAAGCCGGGUGUGGACUCAGACGCGCUCUCUCAGGGCAACUUCGAAGUGGGGUUCCGGCCUCAGCAGUCUGUCAAAGCUGGGAGGGAGCGGCAGCCGGAGGCC
Molecule: long non-coding RNA, 405 nt
Filed under: Bos mutus (wild yak)
Lineage: Eukaryota; Metazoa; Chordata; Mammalia; Artiodactyla; Bovidae
Description: lncRNA (ENSBMUG00000020260.1)
Source: RNAcentral